This 524-nucleotide long non-coding RNA is filed under the name Homo sapiens (human). RNAcentral's name for it is "non-protein coding lnc-TNFAIP3-1:2". Lineage: Eukaryota; Metazoa; Chordata; Mammalia; Primates; Hominidae. The record is from RNAcentral.
CAUCACCACUGCAAAUUUGUCCCUGAAGCAAGGUCUUUUCCUGAUCCAGGAGAUAUUCAACUGAGUCUGGCACCGUUUAAGGUCUGAUAGGAGAUAUUUACCACCUAUUACUCUUUCUGAAGGCUGCUACCAGAAGGCUUCAUCUUCAUAACAAGAACCUUGGCCUCCACAACCCUCCUUAUCUUAACCCUAAGCAUUUCUGUCUUAACUCCUUAGAAAGAAACUUAACUGUUUCAACCAACUGCCAAUCAGAACACCUUUGAAUUCAACUAUCAGCUGUAAGCCCAACACCCUCCUUGAAGUUGUCCUACCUUUCUGGACCAAAUGAACAUAUACGUUACAUACACUGAUUGAUGUCUGCCUAUAAAUUCUGUCCCCCUAAACUGUGUAAAAUCAAGCUGUAACCCAACCACUGUGUUUGGAUACAUGUUCUCAGGACCUCCUGAGGCUAUGUCAUGGGUCAUGGUCCUCACAUUUGGCUCAGAAUAAAUGUCUUUAAAUAUUUUACAGAGAUUGGCUUUUUU